This is a long non-coding RNA of Papaver somniferum (opium poppy), 733 nucleotides long. RefSeq lists it as uncharacterized. The record is from RefSeq and is a predicted model, not a curated record. The transcript has 5 exons. NCBI's taxonomy places the organism in Eukaryota, Viridiplantae, Streptophyta, Magnoliopsida, Ranunculales, Papaveraceae.
AGUGCCAAACACUACAAAAUGAAAUAUCAAUUCGUAUGGUAAAUCUAUGGCACAUCAAAGAUUUAGAAAAAUGAUACUCGCCAAUCGAAAUAAAUAAAUAUUAAUAAUUAAUGUGAUCAAUUUAUAAUACACACUCUCUAAAAACAUUUUGCACACACUAUGUUUGGAAGCCCGUAAAAAAUCUGUGGCACACAUUGUCAAAAGGAGUUUUCAUUCAUUUGUAGGUAGUCAGAAUGAUGCACCCAAUGUUCUAAGGGGUCAAAAUCAAGAGCAUGCAGCAAACAGUUCCAAGGUGUCUGGGGUUAAUGCUGAAAAAUGUGACUGGACCUAACACCGCUGGUGUAUCUCCACAAUCAAGAAAGAAAAACCUCUUAGUCUGGAGAGAUCUGUGCUCGUGGACCUCAGAUUAUGAAAGGAUAUUUGAAUGACGGAACCAUGAAUACAAUCGACCAAGAAGGCUGGCUUCAUACAGGAGACAUAGGUUUCAUUGACAAUGACGACGAGAUUUUCUUUGUGGACAGUCACAGAACUUAUUAGUUUCAAAGAAUUCAAGAUAGCGCCAGCAGAGCUCGAGGCUUUACUGUUCAGUCACCCGUCUAUUGAUGCGGCUGCUGUUGUUUCUCAAGAUGACCCCGCAACUGGAGAAGCUGUGGUUGCCUUUGUCGUUCAAUCAGAUGGAGCUGAACUUACUGAAGAUGAAGUUAAAGAAUUGUUUUUUUUCCAGACGGCUGUG